CAGCCGCCGCGGGAAUACGAAGGGGGCUAGCGUUGUCCGGAAUGAUUGGGCGUAAAGGGCGCGCAGGCGGCUGUGUAAGUCUGUCUAGAAAGUGCGGGGCUAAACCCCGUGAGAGGAUGGAAACUGGACAGCUGAGAGUGUCGGAGAGGAAAGCGGAAUUCCUAGUGUAGCGGUGAAAUGCGUAGAUAUUAGGAGGAACACCAGUGGCGAAGGCGGCUUUCUGGACUGCAACUGACGCUGAGGCUCGAAAGCCAGGGGAGCGAACGGGAUUAGAUACCCCCGUAGUCCCUGUCUCUUAUAC
Molecule: ribosomal RNA, 301 nt
Filed under: uncultured bacterium
Lineage: Bacteria
Description: partial 16S ribosomal RNA
Rfam family: Bacterial small subunit ribosomal RNA
Source: RNAcentral